CAAUAGCGUAUAUUUAAGUUGUUGCAGUUAAAAAGCUCGUAGUUGGAUUUCGGAUGGGAUUUGCCGGCCCGUCGUUACGAUGUGCACUGGCCAGUCCUAUCUUGUUGUCGGGGACUAGCUCCUUGGAUUCACUUCCUGGGACUAGGAGCUGACGAGGUUACUUUGAGUAAAUUAGAGUGUUCAAAGCAAGCCUACGCUCUGAAUACAUUAGCAUGGAAUAACACGAUAGGACUCUGGCUUAUCUUGUUGGUCUGUGAGACCAGAGUAAUGAUUAAGAGGGACAGUCGGGGACAUUCGUAUUUCAUUGUCAGAGGUGAAAUUCUUGGAUUUAUGAAAGACGAACUUCUGCGAAAGCAUUUGUCAAGGAUGUUUUCAUUA
This 378-nucleotide ribosomal RNA is filed under the name uncultured eukaryote. RNAcentral's name for it is "partial 18S ribosomal RNA". It matches the Rfam family "Eukaryotic small subunit ribosomal RNA", at positions 592 to 975 of the family's 1831-position model. The record is from RNAcentral.